GACGAACGCUGGCGGCGUGCUUAACACAUGCAAGUCGAACGAAGUGGCGAACGGGUGAGUAACGCGUAAUCAACCUGCCCUUCAGAGGGGGACAACACUUGGAAACGACUGCUAAUACCGCAUACUGAAGGAGGGGAUUGCGUCUGAUUAGCUAGUUGGAGGGGUAACGGCCACCCAAGGCGAUGAUCAGUAGGCGGGUGGGGAGGAUGAACGGCCACAUUGGGACUGAGACACGGCCCAGACCCCUACGGGAGGCAGCAGUGGGGAAGAUGCCGCAAUGGAAGAAAGUCUGACGGAGCAACGGCGGGUUAGUGAUGACGGUCUUCGGGUUGUAAAGCUUUGUUAAUCGGGACGCGGUACCGGAAUAGAAAGCAACGGCUAACUACGUGCCAGCAGCCGCGGUAAUUC
RNAcentral lists this ribosomal RNA (408 nucleotides) under uncultured bacterium. RNAcentral describes it as "partial 16S ribosomal RNA". It matches the Rfam family "Bacterial small subunit ribosomal RNA", at positions 28 to 526 of the family's 1533-position model. The record is from RNAcentral.